RNAcentral lists this transfer RNA (71 nucleotides) under Podarcis lilfordi (Lilford's wall lizard). RNAcentral describes it as "tRNA.Ala". Lineage: Eukaryota; Metazoa; Chordata; Lepidosauria; Squamata; Lacertidae. The record is from RNAcentral.
GGGCCAUAGCUCAGUGGAAGAACAGCUGCUUUGCGUGCAGAAGGUCCCAGGUUCAAUCCCCGCUGGCAUCU